RNAcentral lists this long non-coding RNA (1300 nucleotides) under Sinocyclocheilus grahami. Its description in RNAcentral is "lncRNA (ENSSGRG00000036833.1)". The record is from RNAcentral. Lineage: Eukaryota; Metazoa; Chordata; Actinopteri; Cypriniformes; Cyprinidae.
GUUUAUUUUGUGGAGUGCUACGGAAACGACCUUAUUCUUAAAACCUCUUCCAAACAGCAGGUGGCGGUACGGAGCUGCAGGCGAGUCUGUUCCUCGGUCUGUCUACAGAGGAAGAAAUAGACAAUCAGCUGUUCAAACCUGGUGGUUCAAACAGAGAGCGGAGCUAUGAACGAACAGAAAUGGAUUCAGGCAAUAACUCGGUUGCAGGCUCAGUGUCGUGGUUAUGUGAUGUGGAAAGGACUGAGUUUGGUUCGGACUCAGUUUGAAGAGACAGUGCGAGAGAUUGAUGGAGGAUUGGAUCACCUGCAGUGGAGAGGAAACAUAAUUCCCAAACCUCACUUCACUGACACUGAAAGCCUAUUGCUGCAGUAUGAACGCUCCAGGUUUCAGUCCCAUGACCAUCUGGAGAAUCAGGGCAGUGAGAAAUCUCUCCCACCGCCUGAAUCCAGGUACCAGAGAGAGACGAAGCUGCUGAAACAGCCAGCAGAGAUACUUCCACACCCUGUGGAUGGUAUUGUGGACAAGAGAGGAGAGAAUGUGGUCAUACAAAACCUGAUGGAUGAUUCGACUACACUCUGCAGUACCGUGAAUUCAGAUGUCAGCCACAGCAGCUUAUUUCAGACAGGACCAAAUUUGCAUUCAGUUUUUAAAGACACAGAACACACUCUUGACUCUCUGAAGCAGCAGCAGAGCACUUUAGCUAUGGAGCUGCUGUGGAUCCAGCAAGCCAUCAGUAGCAGAAAGAAAGUGAGAAAAGUUUGGAAUUUUUAACAUUAAUGUUUAUUUGUGUGUGUGUGUGUGUGUGUGUGUGUUAGUCUAUAAAAUGAUUCUGCUCUGCUUCUUUUGUAGUAUUUUAACCUCAAACAGAGAAUGGAUGUGCCACACUGAUACUGGACCAGUUCUGAAGUGGGCCAACAUUUUAAGAGAUGUUUUCUCAUUAUUUCUGUAUUAUUGUAUAAUUUACAGCACAGAAUGUUUGAGAAUUGUCAUAAAUUAUAUUUAUUUAUGAGCUUCUUUUGUCUAUAAACGGGUUUGUGUUAAAGAAGAUUUUUAUUUUUGUAAAAAUGGCAUUUCAGAAAUAAAUAUAAUAUGCAAGUGAUGGAGAUGGAAGAGAGACUAAUUUUUCUGUAUAACACAAAGCCAGUACAGUUCAAUCCUAGAUGGACGUCAAAGGCUCCCACAUCCUUAUCUUACAGUUCGGUCAAUGUAGUGAAAUAGCUAUUUAAUUACUGACUUGUAUUUAGACUGUGUAACCACAUGAGAACUCAUAUAUCACUCGAUAUGAUGUUGCCUGCCCUGG